This 253-nucleotide unclassified non-coding RNA is filed under the name uncultured Frankiales bacterium. RNAcentral describes it as "contains 16S-23S intergenic spacer region". It matches the Rfam family "Bacterial small subunit ribosomal RNA", at positions 524 to 776 of the family's 1533-position model. The record is from RNAcentral. Lineage: Bacteria; Bacillati; Actinomycetota; Actinomycetes; Frankiales.
CACGUAGGGCGCAAGCGUUGUCCGGAAUUAUUGGGCGUAAAGAGCUCGUAGGCGGCCAGUUGCGUCCGCUGUGAAAUCCCGGGGCUCAACCCCGGGCUUGCAGUGGAUACGGGCUGGCUAGAGGCAGGCAGGGGAGAACGGAAUUCCCGGUGUAGCGGUGAAAUGCGCAGAUAUCGGGAGGAACACCGGUGGCGAAGGCGGUUCUCUGGGCCUGUACUGACGCUGAGGAGCGAAAGCGUGGGGAGCGAACAGG